AAAGACACCCAAAGUCAGAUUGCAGUUGAUAGGAGACCAGGGGGUAUCUCCUGAAUAUAAUCUGAAUGAACAUGGGAGGAAGCACAAUUUCCUUGGGGUAGGACAGAAGAAAUGGUUUCUUUUGUAUACAAAAGAGUCCCUGGGAAAACUGAAGAAGGUUGUGGUGUACAUCAGUGAUAGACCAGGAGCUCAAUGGAAUGUGCUGGACAUAACAGUAUAUGAUACAGUAUCUGGCUGUGAAUCCCACUUUAGCAGCAAUGGAUGCCUCACAGUGGGAUACACCACUUU
This is a long non-coding RNA of Lingula anatina, 288 nucleotides long. NCBI's taxonomy places the organism in Eukaryota, Metazoa, Brachiopoda, Lingulata, Lingulida, Lingulidae. The record is from RefSeq and is a predicted model, not a curated record.